GGGCAUAUGGCCAAAUGGAUAAGGUGCCUGACUAUGGAUCAGGAGAUUCCAGGUUCAAUCCCUGGUAUGCUUG
Basidiobolus meristosporus CBS 931.73 is the source of this 73-nucleotide transfer RNA. It matches the Rfam family "tRNA". Rfam says of the family: Transfer RNA (tRNA) molecules are approximately 80 nucleotides in length. Their secondary structure includes four short double-helical elements and three loops (D, anti-codon, and T loops). The record is from Rfam. Lineage: Eukaryota; Fungi; Basidiobolomycota; Basidiobolomycetes; Basidiobolales; Basidiobolaceae.